RNAcentral lists this unclassified non-coding RNA (247 nucleotides) under Hevea brasiliensis (rubber tree). Lineage: Eukaryota; Viridiplantae; Streptophyta; Magnoliopsida; Malpighiales; Euphorbiaceae. The record is from RNAcentral.
AUCUUCUCUCUUGCUAGUAUGUACUCAGCAAUGCUCCUGACUGGAUGGACCACCUCUGUUGGCGGAAGCGGCAGAUUAGUUGAUGUUGGUUGGGCAUCCGUUUGGGUUCGGGUUGUGACUGGUUGGGCUACUGCAGCAUUGUUCAUCUGGUCUUUAAUUGCCCCCGUUCUGUUCCCAGACCGGGAGUUCUGAGUGCUUAUUCGUCAAACUCUGAGUGUGUCUGAACUCUUAAGUAGAUUUUAUGGCA